Molecule: unclassified non-coding RNA, 291 nt
Filed under: uncultured fungus
Lineage: Eukaryota; Fungi
Description: sequence contains ITS2
Source: RNAcentral
AACGCACCUUGCGCCCCGUGGUUUUCCACGGAGCACGCCUGUUCGAGUGUCACGUUAAACCCUCGCACCGGGUCGAUGUCAAAGUCGACUCGGGAGCGGAUUUGGACGUUGCCGGCUCCGUGCCGGCUCGUCUCGAAAUGCAUUAGCUGGAGUCGUCGCCCGACGUGCGGUGUUGAUAAUUGUCUACGCCGAAAGCGUGAGCUUCGCUCUGCUCAGAGUCUCGCCCUUCGAAUGGCGAAAUCUUACUCAAAGUUUGACCUCGAAUCAGGUGGGACUACCCGCUGAACUUAA